Felis catus (domestic cat) is the source of this 1258-nucleotide RNA transcript. RefSeq lists it as uncharacterized. The record is from RefSeq and is a predicted model, not a curated record. NCBI's taxonomy places the organism in Eukaryota, Metazoa, Chordata, Mammalia, Carnivora, Felidae. The transcript has 9 exons.
GUGGGCCAGUAGAAAUCCUUGGGCCACUUCCACACAGGCUGAUCCGGCCGGCGGUGGGAACGCAGGGGAGGGGCUUGUAACUUCCGUGGUCCGGGAAGGCUUCCUGGAGGAGGCGCCAAACUCAGCUCCCCAGGUUUAAGGAAGCCAGAGGUCCGGCCACAGCCCCCCGCCCCUUCGGGGCUCGGCGGUGACCACGCCGGGACGAGAUGGACAAGCCGUUCAGAAGAACUUGGUGAUCUGAUGGAUUCUGAUACAAGCCCAGGUGCUUUGGAGAGGUUGACUCGCAGAUAAACAAGGGCCUGGCGGUGCCUUCCCGCGAGGACUCUUGAAAGUCAGGGACAUGAGACUCCGCGGAGGUAGGUUUGCAGCCCCUCGUGCUCUGGCGAAGUGAAAAGCCCAGGCCCCGGCCAUGGCUGGUCUGAGGUCCGGCCGGCCCGCCUGCAUCAGGGCGGCAUUUGCUAGCACCAGGGCCGGCUUCCAGAAGAGGUGGAGGAACACACCCCGUCGCUUCAAGGCCAAUCACAAAAAGAAUCACAUGGAGUUAAUUGAAGGUAUCUGGAGAGAGACUAUGCUGUUAGCUAUUUUUAUUCCCUGUUUUGGGGACUCCGUGACAGCGUUGACUGUCCACAGAAGAAAUGAGCUCUCUCGGGAGGUUUUCACCACCCAGUCUCAGCACCUGUUGUCCGGGCGACGUGACCUGUAUUGUGCCUUCACACACACCGACGUCCAGGAGUCCAGGAGAGGUGCGCGUAGAAGAUCCUCUCGCCUCAAAGAUCCCAGACCGCCUCCUCAAAGCUGCCAGCUGGGGCCCUGCGUCCCCGGAGGCCGACGACGUGGACAUGUGGCCUGUCGAGGCCAGCGGCCCCGAGGCGCCAGGGUGGCCAGCCGGGCCAUCCGGAGCCCCAGAGGACCGGAGAAUGACGGACGAGGGGUGGCCCAGGGCAGCCGGUCCCCUCCUCCCCGCCGCGGAGCCCUCUGAGCCCGGCAGACACACGCAGGGCAGGACCAGAGGGUCCCGGCCGCCUCCCAGACUUGGGAGUGAGAAGGACAAGGGGCCCAAGCUCAUCCUCUUCAAGAGGAAACUGGAACUCUUACUUGCAGAGCCCGAGAAAAGGAAGAGGAAGAAGCAGUAUGUGGCCUAGACUGAGGCAUGAACUGAGCACAAGCCUGGCGCCAGUGCCGGGUGGCCGCUGCCCACACGCCCCGGGACCCCCAGGACCGUGCUGUUCCCAAGUGCCAAUAAAGGGAAGCCCGAGGA